This 3164-nucleotide long non-coding RNA is filed under the name Sus scrofa (pig). RNAcentral describes it as "lncRNA (ENSSSCG00015011810.1)". Lineage: Eukaryota; Metazoa; Chordata; Mammalia; Artiodactyla; Suidae. The record is from RNAcentral.
UUUUUUUUUUUUUUUUUUUUUGAGGUUCCGUAAAUAUUAUGAGCUAUCUAUGAUUUGUGGAAACUAUUUCCUUCACUUUACCCAGGGAUUAAUGACAAUAGAAAUUCUUCACAUUUGGGUAGUGCUUCCAGAAAGUCUUCACCAAGGGUGGAUACUCAGAGUGGCCAUCUUACUUAUUAUAGCCAGCAUCUGUCCAACAGCUGUUCCAGCUGGUCCAUCUCCAUACUAUACAGAUUAAUAAAUAUUUUGGAUAUCACCUUUGCUUUCACCUACAGUAUCCCUUUUAUAUCACAAACAAAAGUGGGAGCAGACAAAAGAAUGGGCCACAAAGGUCAUUUUGUAGAUGAGCAAGAUAAGAUUCUGAAGUGACUACUCCAAGCUAAUCAAUGGGCAAAGCUGGGUUGGAAAUUGGGACUUUUGUUCCAAGGCUCUCUGCAUCUCAUUGUGAUUUACACAGAAGAUAAAGUUACAUUAUAUUUUCUCCUCAUUAUUUCUCAGAAACUAGGCUAAAGAAUUUACAUGCAUUGAACACUUACAACAAAUUUCAGGAGGUAGGUUUUAUUAUCCUGUCUAUUUUUCAUUUAAGGAAUGUGACAUUCGAGGUUAAGUUCAUUUUGCUAGGCAGUGCAAAGCCAGAAUUUUUUUUUUUUUGUCUUUUUGCCUUUGCUAGGGCCACUCCUACAGCAUAUGGAGGUUCCCAGGUUAGGGGUCCAAUCGGAGCUGUAGCUGCCGGCCUAUGCCAGAGCCACAGCAACGUGGGAUCUGAGCUGCAUCUGCAACCUACACCACAGCUCACAGCAACGCUGGAUCCUUCACCCACUGAGCAAGACCAGGGAUCGAACCCGCAACCUCAUGGUUCUUCGUCGGAUUUGUUAACCACUGAGUCACGACGGGAAUUCCCAAAGCCAGAAUUUGAACUCAGAUCUGCCUACUCUACAAAACCACAUGGCUCCUACUCUCAAGAUCCUAGUUGUAGAAUCCAGACAUGCAAAACAUCAUUAAUCAUAAGCUAAAAUAUAUGGUUGAUGUGAUUAUAUUCAGAUAAUAUAUGCUAUAUGGGAUCAGGAAAAGGAAAGGUCAACUGAGUUUGUGUCACCAGGAAAAACUACUUGAUAAUAGGAUCUCAAAUCACAACUAUUUGUGAUUUUUAUAAUGCUAUGGCUAUUCUGUAGAAAUUUGAUGGGCUACAUUAAAUCUUGAAUGAUGAAUGGGGCUUAGGUAAGAGACAAAGGAAUUCUGGGUAAAAAAGGCCAUGACUUAAAAGCAUAUAAGUAUGAGGAAAACCUAGAAUGUUCAGGGAAAAAAAAAGCCCUUCUACCUAUGUCAGGGGUGGUAAAUCAACCUUAUUUCAUGAAACAUGCUUCAUCAAUUAAGAAUGGUUGCCCAGAGUACUGUCUUGAGGACAACAAUGAUGCAAUUGGGUAAGAAGUCAAAGCGAAGAUGGCUUAGUGAUGUUGGCCAUGGACACCAGAUUGGAACCUGGUCGCCCAAGUACCAUGUAUCUUCCCUUAUAAGAUGCAGAGUCCACAGUAUAAUAAAGAAUGAGCAAGCAAGAGUGCUGAAGGAGUAUCUUAAGGUGCAUCACAGAGAGUUAUUUUCUGUGAGGAUAUGGAGUUUGGACUUGAUUUAAUGGGCAAGAAGCUCAUUGAGAGCUCUUGAAAAAGAGAGGCUCCAAAUAAAAUUUGGACUAUAGUAUGUAGAAUAAACUAGAAGGCAGUUAUAUGAAAUUUGGCUGCUGGCCAUUCACAACAGCUUCUGAAUUGAUAUUCUUCUCAUAGAGCUAGUCAUUAGGUAUCAAAAUGACACUUUCAAAAAAAGAAAAAAAUUAUUUAUAUACUCACUAUUGAGUGAAAGCUCAAGCUGGAAGUAAGCAAACCCUUGGCUUUCACCACAGCUAUGGGAUUGGCUAAUAAAGGCCCAAAUACCACUUCCACAACCCUGGCCUCUCAAUGGCCAGUGGGAUAUUGAAUUACACUCUUGGAUAUGAUAUUCCACUGAGGGAAAUUAUGUCACCAAAGACCUAGGUCUGACCUGACCUCAUCACAGGUCAGCAUCUCAUGACAGUUUAUAGUCACCAUCACUCAGAUCUAUUGGGCACUUAUUAUCUUCUAGGAUAAGACUUACUUUACAUUUUUGUCUCAGUUUAUCCUCACGACAACCCUAAUAAGCAUGAGUGUGCCUAUUUUUCAGAUGAAUAAACUGAGGCUUAGAAAGGGAUAUAAGUUGCCCAAGGUGGAACUGAGAUAGAGAUAGCCAACUGAGAACUGAGAUAGCCAUUGCCAAGGCUGUGCCCUUUACCAUCAUCACCAUGGAGGCCAAGCCUCUGCACACAUGGGCUCCAGCAAAGCAUAUUCCUACUGACAUCACAGCAUGCAAACCACAGACAAGCUCAUGUGAGAUCCUGGGGGACCAUGAAUUCUGUCCCAUUCCUUUCCCAGACGACAUCAACAACCAAGCCACAAGAACCUGCAAAUUAAUUUCUGUUAACCACACACCCCAAAAUACCUACUGUCAAGAAAGAGGAUCAGGAGCAUUUCACUCCCAACAACAUCAUUUCCAGGGCCCCAUGGUAAAUAUGUCUGGAGCAGUAAAUACUUUUCUGAAAUUGGGAAAAAUAAAUCCACAUAUCAUGAUUGAGGUUAAACCUUUAGUUUCCCAAGGUCCACAAGUCUUCCUGGAAGCCUGGGGAGGGGGGGGGCUGUCUGUUUGUUUGUUUGUUUUCAAUUUUAUGAGGCAUCUAAAACUCCCAGUUUCUAAGUCUGGGUCUCUGCUCUUAUGUGUUCAGUUUAGAAUGGAACCAGAAAACAAAAACAAAAACAAAACACCACAUGUGCCUAAUGCCAUAUUUUAAAUACAUCUCUGAAAAGUUGACUAGAAACCCUCUCAUUCUUGUCCAAGAAUCCCUUGUUUAUUUAACUGAUACAUAAUAAGUCCAUUUGCCUUUACCUUUAACCCCUUAAAAUGCUCUGUGGUUUUCAUAGAUUUCCGUUUCACAUGUACAGUGAUACCCACUUCCAUUUUCAUUAUAUAUAAAAGCUUAUACUUUCCAUCAAGCCUGUAUUUUUUUUUCAGUAAGAAUCCAUUUCAGGGUACUUCAGAGGUGAGUCAAAUCUCUCUCCAAAAGUGAAAGAAGUUAUUUCUCCUAUCUUUAUUUGGAUCUGUGC